This 222-nucleotide long non-coding RNA is filed under the name Arabidopsis lyrata. RNAcentral describes it as "long non-coding RNA (ALYR_LNC001350)". Lineage: Eukaryota; Viridiplantae; Streptophyta; Magnoliopsida; Brassicales; Brassicaceae. The record is from RNAcentral.
AUAAAGUCAAUUUUUAACUAUCCACUUAUGUUUAACUUACGUUGACUUAAUUUUUUGUACCAGCGAGUUAUUUUAAAACCGUCGACUUAUGUUUUGGCUCGUUGAUUUAUAACAUAGUCGAUUUUUCUAACUGCUGACUUAAUUUUUUUGUUCAUUGAUUUAUAGUUUAUUUCGGUUGACUUGUUUAUUCAUGGUAGAUUUACUUUAUUUUACGUUGACUUA